UUAUCCGGAAUUAUUGGGCGUAAAGCGCGCGUAGGCGGUUUUUUAAGUCUGAUGUGAAAGCCCACGGCUCAACCAUGGAGGGUCAUUGGAAACUGGAAAACUUGAGUGCAGAAGAGGAAAGUGGAAUUCCAUGUGUAGCGGUGAAAUGCGCAGAGAUAUGGAGGAACACCAGUGGCGAAGGCGACUUUCUGGUCUGUAACUGACGCUGAUGUGCGAAAGCGUGGGGAUCAAACAGGAUUAGAUACCCUGGUAGUCCACGCCGUAAACGAUGAGUGCUAAGUGUUAGGGGGUUUCCGCCCCUUAGUGCUGCAGCUAACGCAUUUAAGCACUCCGCCCUGGGGAGUACGACCGCAAGGUUGAAAUUCAAAGGAAUUGACGGGGACCCGCACAAGCGGUGGAGCAUGUGGUUUAAUUCGAAGCAACGCGAAGAACCUUACCAAAUCUUGACAUCCUCUGACUCCUCUAGAGAUAGAGUUUUCCCCUUCGGGGGACAGAGUGACAGGUGGUGCAUGGUUGUCGUCAGCUCGUGUCGUGAGAUGUUGGGUUAAGUCCCGCAACGAGCGCAACCCUUAAGCUUAGUUGCCAUCAUUAAGUUGGGCACUCUAAGUUGACUGCCGGUGACAAACCGGAGGAAGGUGGGGAUGACGUCAAAUCAUCAUGCCCCUUAUGAUUUGGGCUACACACGUGCUACAAUGGACAAUACAAAGGGUAGCGAAACCGCGAGGUCAAGCAAAUCCCAUAAAGUUGUUCUCAGUUCGGAUUGUGGUCUGCAACUCGACUAUAUGAAGAUGGAAUCGCUAGUAAUCGUAGAUCAGCAUGCUACGGUG
RNAcentral lists this ribosomal RNA (827 nucleotides) under uncultured Staphylococcaceae bacterium. RNAcentral describes it as "bacterial SSU rRNA". It matches the Rfam family "Bacterial small subunit ribosomal RNA", at positions 541 to 1364 of the family's 1533-position model. Lineage: Bacteria; Bacillati; Bacillota; Bacilli; Caryophanales; Staphylococcaceae. The record is from RNAcentral.